AUCUAGCAAUUAUGCAGUGAUGGACUGAUGGAACGGUCUGGAAAGAAAGGUGUGUUGAUCAGGCUUUAGUCUUUGAUCUUGAGUAAUGGCGAUUACGCCACUGUUCACAUCUGCACAUGAUCGUCGAUGGAUGCGUCCAAGGGUUUUCUGAGUUCCUACGUUAGUAUUCGCUAGCUUGUGUUUGAGGAAAUGUAGGACGUCCUAGCUAAUAACCUCUCCCGGCCCCAUCUUUC
RNAcentral lists this long non-coding RNA (233 nucleotides) under Setaria viridis. RNAcentral describes it as "long non-coding RNA (SVIR_LNC002299)". Lineage: Eukaryota; Viridiplantae; Streptophyta; Magnoliopsida; Poales; Poaceae. The record is from RNAcentral.